RNAcentral lists this ribosomal RNA (490 nucleotides) under uncultured bacterium. Its description in RNAcentral is "partial 16S ribosomal RNA". It matches the Rfam family "Bacterial small subunit ribosomal RNA", at positions 30 to 507 of the family's 1533-position model. The record is from RNAcentral.
AUUGAACGCUGGCGGCAGGCCUAACACAUGCAAGUCGAACGGUAACAGGAAGCAGCUUGCUGCUUUGCUGACGAGUGGCGGACGGGUGAGUAAUGUCUGGGAAACUGCCUGAUGGAGGGGGAUAACUACUGGAAACGGUAGCUAAUACCGCAUAACGUCGCAAGACCAAAGAGGGGGACCUUCGGGCCUCUUGCCAUCGGAUGUGCCCAGAUGGGAUUAGCUAGUAGGUGGGGUAACGGCUCACCUAGGCGACCAUCCCUAGCUGGUCUGAGAGGAUGACCAGCCACACUGGAACUGAGACACGGUCCAGACUCCUACGGGAGGCAGCAGUGGGGAAUAUUGCACAAUGGGCGCAAGCCUGAUGCAGCCAUGCCGCGUGUAUGAAGAAGGCCUUCGGGUUGUAAAGUACUUUCAGCGGGGAGGAAGGGAGUAAAGUUAAUACCUUUGCUCAUUGACGUUACCCGCAGAAGAAGCACCGGCUAACUCCGCG